UGCCCGGUGCGCAGGCAACGGAUACUUCGACUCUCGAUCGGCGGGUUGUGGGUUCGAGUCCCACCCGGUCCACCA
This 75-nucleotide transfer RNA is filed under the name Nocardia macrotermitis. Its description in RNAcentral is "tRNA-Glu". Lineage: Bacteria; Bacillati; Actinomycetota; Actinomycetes; Mycobacteriales; Nocardiaceae. The record is from RNAcentral.